RNAcentral lists this ribosomal RNA (165 nucleotides) under uncultured bacterium. RNAcentral's name for it is "partial 16S rRNA". It matches the Rfam family "Bacterial small subunit ribosomal RNA", at positions 355 to 511 of the family's 1533-position model. The record is from RNAcentral.
UAGGGAAUCUUCCACAAUGGGUGCAAGCCUGAUGGGGCAACGCCGCGUGAGUGAAGAAGGUUUUCGGAUCGUAAAGCUCUGUUGUAAGAGAAGAACGUGUGUGAGAGUGGAAAGUUCACACAGUGACGGUAACUUACCAGAAAGGGACGGCUAACUACGUGCCAG